GGACGUGAGGGUAAUCUGACUAUGACAUCUAUCAGACCAUUGAUCACUCGGGUUAAUUGGUCUAAGCUAGAUGGCAUGAAAGGUGACCCUUUUCCUUACUGAUACAUGUAUGCGCACAGUGGAAGAGGAACCUUUCGAUGCCAAAGAUACAUUAACAGAUGUUUUCCCAUUAGAAUUUUCAAAAAGCUCUCAAAGAAAGGGGUUUUGAGAUUUUCUCUCUCUCCUUUUCCCUCUUUAUCCUCUGUCUGUCUAU
RNAcentral lists this small nuclear RNA (253 nucleotides) under Dipodomys ordii (Ord's kangaroo rat). Its description in RNAcentral is "7SK RNA". It matches the Rfam family "7SK RNA". Rfam says of the family: 7SK was discovered as an abundant small nuclear RNA in the mid-70s but a possible function has only recently been suggested. The record is from Rfam by way of RNAcentral. Lineage: Eukaryota; Metazoa; Chordata; Mammalia; Rodentia; Heteromyidae.